RNAcentral lists this transfer RNA (82 nucleotides) under Streptomyces lannensis. RNAcentral describes it as "tRNA-Asp". Lineage: Bacteria; Bacillati; Actinomycetota; Actinomycetes; Kitasatosporales; Streptomycetaceae. RNAcentral also lists the same sequence under 1 other name. The record is from RNAcentral.
ACCGACGAGGCCUUCGUGGUCAGGGUCGCCGGGCUGUCGCCCCGGUUCAGCAGCACCACGGCUCGGUCGCCGUUCGCCAGCC